AGGCGGCAGGCUUAUCACCAAACGCCCUAUUCCUCCUAAUAGAGUGGCCGUCGCCUGCGGUGGUAGUAGAACCCAAACACGCCUCGAUUUCUGUCUCGUCCAUAUUCGGAACCACCACCGCGAUGACCUCCUCCUCCGCUCUCGUCCUCACCACUACUUUUCUGUUCCCUCUGAACCACCGCCCCACGUUUCUCGCUAUUCCGUCCCAUCUCAGCAGCAGCGAUGGCCAUCGAAGGAGCCGUGCCGGCCCCCAGGGAAAGUGGAAGUGCUGCUCCACCGCUAAGGACAAGUCGGCCUCUACGCAGCAGAGGCAGCGAAAGCCGCCGCGCCGUUCCUUAAGCGGGAAAUCAGAGCCGGACGUUGACCCCAUUGGCUUUCUCUCCAAGUUCGCCAUCUCCCACCGCGGUUUUGCUCAGUUCCUUCGUGAGCGGUACAAGGCCUUGAAGGACCGCAGAUUUGAGUUAUACUCUCGGUUUAUAGAUCUGAAGGAGUCAGCUUCGGGGUAUGAAAUUUUGGGCAUGCAUAGGCAUAGGCAGCAUCGGGUGGACUACAUGGAGUGGGCCCCAGGUGCUCGAUAUUGUUCGCUUGUUGGUGACUUCAAUGGAUGGUCAGCAACAGAAAAUAGUGCAAGAGAUGGACACUUAGGGCAUGAUGAUUUUGGUUAUUGGUUUAUCAUUCUUGAAGAUAAGCUAAGAGAUGGUGAAGAACCAGAUGAAUACUUCUUUCAAGAGUACAAUUAUAUGGAUGAUUAUGACAAAGGUGACAGUAAUAUUAAUGUUGAAGAACUUCUUAGAAGAAUAAAUGAUGAAUAUUGGGAACCUGGAGAGGUUUGGCCCCGUAAGUCACGUAUGGAGAUGGUUUCUAAGUUGUAUGAACAGAUGUUUGGCCCCAAUAGUCCCCAGACUGAUGAAGAACUAGGUGAAAUACUUGAUGCUGAAACACGUUACAAGCAAUGGAAAGAAGUCUCAAAAUUUGAUCAUGUCAACGACAGGCCUCGCUUUGAUGUCAUUGAUGAUGGGAAGGAGUUUGAUAUCUUCAGUGUUAAAGGUGAUCCAGUAUCAGCAGAGAAAUUUAAAUCUAAGAAACCUCCUCUUGCUUACUGGAUAGAAAUGCGAAAAGGACGUAAGGCAUGGUUGAAAAAAUACAUGCCCGCUAUUUCACAUGGAAGUAGGUAUAAAGUUUAUUUUAAUACUCCUGAUGGAGCAUUGGAAAGAGUUCCAGCUUGGGCUACAUAUGUUCUACCAGAAGCAGAUGGAAAAGAAGCUUAUGCAGUUUAUUGGGAACCUCCUCCAGAGGAUAUGUACAAGUGGAAGUAUAAGAGGCCCAAAACUCCAAAGUCUCUUCGUAUAUAUGAGUGCCAUGUUGGGAUAAGUGGAUCGGAACCAAAAAUAUCAUCCUUUAAUGAGUUUACUUCCAAGGUUCUUCCACAUGUGAAAAAUGCAGGAUACAAUGCUAUCCAGUUAUUUGGGGUUGUUGAGCAUUGGGACUAUUCUUCUGUUGGUUACAAAGUUACAAAUUUUUUUGCUGUUAGUAGUAGAUUUGGGACUCCUGAUGACUUCAAGCAGUUGGUUGAUGAGGCACAUGGGCUUGGAAUUCUAGUGUUUCUAGAUGUUGUUCAUUCCUAUGCUUCAGCAGAUGAAUCAGCUGGGUUGUCACUAUUUGAUGGAUCAAAUGAUUGCUACUUCCAUACUGGUAAACGGGGUCAUCAUAAAUAUUGGGGUACCAGGAUGUUCAAAUAUGGUGAUGUUGAUGUGUUGCACUUUCUUUUGUCAAACUUGAAGUGGUGGGUUGCAGAAUAUCAGGUUGAUGGCUUCCAGUUUCACUCACUCCCAUCAAUGAUGUAUACUCAUAAUGGUUUUGCUACAUUUACUGGUGACAUCGAGGAGUAUUGCAAUCAAUAUGUUGAUAAAGACGCUUUAUUGUACCUUAUUCUAGCAAAUGAGAUGCUGCAUGAACUUUAUCCAGAUAUCAUCACAAUUGCAGAAGAUGCCACAUUUUAUCCUGGAUUAUGUGAACCAACAACUCAAGGUGGCUUGGGAUUUGACUACUGGAUCAACUUUUCAGUUUCUGAGUUGUGGCUGUGGCUUCUUGAGAAUGUCCCUGAUCAGGACUGGAGCAUGAAUAAGAUUGUGAGUGUGCUUUUGACCAACCAACAAAGCCAUCAUAAGAUGCUUUUGUAUGCUGAGAAUCAUAAUCAGUCAAUAUCAGGAGGGCGGUCCUUUGCGGAAAUUUUGUUCAGCAAGGCUGAUGAGCAAAUCAUUGAAUCUGAUAAUGUUCUAUUUAGGGGAGCUUCACUGCAUAAGAUGAUCAAGUUACUGACAUUCACAAUGAGUGGAAGUGCUUACCUCAAUUUUAUGGGAAAUGAAUUUGCACACCCAAAUAGAGUUGAGUUUCCAGUCCCAAGCAACAAGUUUUCGUUUGCUUUGGCAAACCGUCAUUGGGAUUUGUUAAUGGAUGAAGUGCACAGGCAACUUUUUAAUUUUGAUAAGGAUAUGAUGAGGAUAGAUGAGGAUGAGAAUAUACUUUCAAGUGGACCACCAAAGGUGCACCAUAUUAAUGACUCUAACAUGGUUAUAUCCUACAACAGAGGACCGCUAUUUUUUGUGUUCAACUUUCAUCCUACAAUUUGUUAUGAAGCUUAUUGUGUCGGUGUAGAAGAAGCAGGGGAAUAUCAGUUAAUACUCAAUACUGAUGAAGUCAGUUACGGAGGACUCGGGAUGCUUAAGAGAGACCCGUAUCUUCAAAGGACUAGCACCAAAAGGACUGAUGGCCACAGAAACUCGUUGGAAGUGUCAUUGCCUCGUAGAAGCGCCCAGGUCUACAAAUUGACGAGAAUUUUGACAACAUGAAGCCGAUGGAAUCUUGGAAAUUUUGAUUAUAUAUUCAAUUGAGGUGAUCGGCUGAGGCGACUACGGGGCUAACAUUUUGGCGUUUUGGAACAUUCUGGUUCGUUUUGACAAACUACAGAUCCAAGUGAAUACGAAUGCCACUAUGCAAGUCUGACUGUAGGUCCAUAAGAGCCAAAUUCCGUACCAUCUUACUACUAAUCAAUGCUGUCAUCCCGGUGUAUAAUAUCUUUUUCUGCAUGGGGUUUGCAUCGAAGAACUCAAAAGGUUCUCUGUUAUGGAGGAUGUUGCGUGGAAGAAGUCUUUUCCUUGCGCGCGACUUUGUCGCAUUUCGCAUGUGAACCUCGUGUUCGUUUGGACAUGCGUGUACCAUUCUGAACAUGAGGGAACAAAAGGGACUCGGAUCGAGUCUUAAAAGCCCAGCUUCCGGUUCCCAAGUGACGAUCCGGCCGUCAUGUAGCAAGGUGUCAGUGUGCCACUGGUGUGUGUUGUGUGGGCUGAUAAGCUACUUCAGCUGCUGCAGAAUGGUUUCAUAUCUUCAUCGCUUUCCGGCAACUUCAAAAUAUCUGUCAACGAGGAAAGGAAUCCAGUAAGUCACUGUCCUGAAAUGUUUAAUGGUUUCAAGUAACAGGUGGAAAUCAUGAGUCCUGAAAUGUUUAUUUCUUAUAUAUUUUCUAAUCACAUGUGACGACCAUGCCGUUGUA
Musa acuminata AAA Group (dessert banana) is the source of this 3550-nucleotide RNA transcript. It is a transcript of the gene named 1,4-alpha-glucan-branching enzyme 3, chloroplastic/amyloplastic-like, with no coding region annotated. The transcript is spliced from 22 exons. Lineage: Eukaryota; Viridiplantae; Streptophyta; Magnoliopsida; Zingiberales; Musaceae. The record is from RefSeq and is a predicted model, not a curated record.